Molecule: transfer RNA, 60 nt
Filed under: Alectorobius atacamensis
Lineage: Eukaryota; Metazoa; Arthropoda; Arachnida; Ixodida; Argasidae
Description: tRNA-Leu
Source: RNAcentral
UCUAUUUUGGCAGAUUAAUUGUAUCAAAUUUAGAAUUUGAGGAUGAGUUUAUCAAAUAGG